AUCAGCACCGUCAUCAUUAUUACGACAACCACCAUUACCACAGGUAACGGGGCGGGCUGACGCGCACAGGAAACACAGGAAAAAGCCCGCACCUCGACAGUGCGGGCUUUUUUUU
Molecule: small RNA, 115 nt
Filed under: Enterobacter kobei
Lineage: Bacteria; Pseudomonadati; Pseudomonadota; Gammaproteobacteria; Enterobacterales; Enterobacteriaceae
Source: RNAcentral